This 468-nucleotide ribosomal RNA is filed under the name uncultured bacterium. RNAcentral describes it as "partial 16S ribosomal RNA". It matches the Rfam family "Bacterial small subunit ribosomal RNA", at positions 28 to 507 of the family's 1533-position model. The record is from RNAcentral.
GACGAACGCUGGCGGCGUGCUUAACACAUGCAAGUCGAACGGAAAGGCCCUGCUUUUGCGGGGUGCUCGAGUGGCGAACGGGUGAGUAACACGUGAGUAACCUGCCCUUGACUUUGGGAUAACUUCAGGAAAAUGGGGCUAAUACAGGAUAGGAGCUCCUGCUGCAUGGGGGGGGUUGGAAAGUUCCGGCGGUGGUGGCUGGUAUGGAGGGUUACUGGCUUGUUGGUGGGGUUGUGGCUUACCAGGGCUUUGACGGGUAGCCGGCAUGAGAGGGUGGCCGGCGUCAAUGGGACUGAGGGACGGCCCAGUCUCCUACGUGAGGCAGUAGUGGGGAGUAUGGCGCAAUGGGCGGAAGCCUGAGGCAGCAACGCCGCGUUCGGGAUGACGUCUUUCGGGUUGUAAACCGCUUUCGCCUGUGACGAGGCGUGAGUGACGGUAAUGGGUAAAGAAGCACCGGCUAACUACGUG